Molecule: ribosomal RNA, 496 nt
Filed under: uncultured bacterium
Lineage: Bacteria
Description: partial 16S ribosomal RNA
Rfam family: Bacterial small subunit ribosomal RNA
Source: RNAcentral
AUGAACGCUGGCGGCGUGCCUAAUACCUGCAAGUCGAGCGAACAGACGAGGAGCUUGCUCCUCUGACGUUAGCGGCGGACGGGUGAGUAACACGUGGAUAACCUACCUAUAAGACUGGGAUAACUUCGGGAAACCGGAGCUAAUACCGGAUAACAUGUUGAACCGCAUGGUUUAACAGUGAAAGACGGUCUUGCUGUCACUUAUAGAUGGAUCCGCGCCGCAUUAGCUAGUUGGUAAGGUAACGGCUUACCAAGGCAACGAUGCGUAGCCGACCUGAGAGGGUGAUCGGCCACACUGGAACUGAGACACGGUCCAGACUCCUACGGGAGGAAGCAGUAGGGAAUCUUCCGCAAUGGGCGAAAGCCUGACGGAGCAACGCCGCGUGAGUGAAGAAGGUCUUCGGAUCGUAAAACUCUGUUAUUAGGGAAGAACAAAUGUGUAAGUAACUAUGCACGUCUUGACGGUACCUAAUCAGAAAGCCACGGCUAACUACGUG